Heterocephalus glaber (naked mole-rat) is the source of this 353-nucleotide long non-coding RNA. Lineage: Eukaryota; Metazoa; Chordata; Mammalia; Rodentia; Bathyergidae. The record is from Ensembl.
GGGAGGAAGGCUGAGAGCGGGCAGGACCCCAGUGAGUAGUGGGCGGCAGGAAGAGCCUACCACUCCUCUGUCAUGGUGGCCUCUCCCCCAGCCAAACUUCUUAGAGUCUUGGGUAGGAAAACACAAAUGAAGACGAUCAGAACACCACUGCCUCGUAGGAUACCUGGUGCUUCUUGAUGAGCCCUGGUCAGGAGCAGAGAAUUAGAUGAUGGGUAGAAGUCUUCUUCAUGGAAUAACAGAUUUCAGUCAGAAGACACGUCUGCCACACUGCCAAGCGGGCCACGCCAUGCCUUCCGGAAGAGCAAUCUCCCAGGAGCUCACAAAGCCAGCUACAUCCACCACGGGGCCAGAAC